GAUACCAGGGUCAAAAGGUCUUUACCCACUUGAGCUUGCUCAUAAGUGGGUAAUAGACCUUGGGACCCGCCAAAAUAUGAGCAUAAAAGUGGGACGAUAGGCCCACGAUAUGCGAAUAUUUUGUAGGAUUGUGGGAGCACGAAGUGCGAAACAAUCCGUAGGUAUC
RNAcentral lists this small RNA (166 nucleotides) under uncultured Acetatifactor sp. RNAcentral describes it as "Clostridiales-1 RNA". It matches the Rfam family "Clostridiales-1 RNA". The record is from RNAcentral. Lineage: Bacteria; Bacillati; Bacillota; Clostridia; Lachnospirales; Lachnospiraceae.